UACGAAGGGGGCUAGCGUUGUUCGGAUUUACUGGGCGUAAAGCGCACGUAGGCGGAUUGUUAAGUCAGGGGUGAAAUCCUGGAGCUCAACUCCAGAACUGCCUUUGAUACUGGCGAUCUUGAGUCCGGGAGAGGUGAGUGGAACUCCGAGUGUAGAGGUGAAAUGCGCAGAUAUCAGGAGGAACACCAAUGGCGAAGGCAGCUCGCUGGGACGGUACUGACGCUGAGGCGCGAAAGCGUGGGGAGCAAACAGG
RNAcentral lists this ribosomal RNA (253 nucleotides) under uncultured bacterium. RNAcentral describes it as "partial 16S ribosomal RNA". It matches the Rfam family "Bacterial small subunit ribosomal RNA", at positions 524 to 776 of the family's 1533-position model. The record is from RNAcentral.